AGGCCCGCAGAGAGAGGCAGGGUCUGAUCCGCAGCCUCCGUGGCAGCUGUUGAUCAGCCCUUGCCUCUCUCUUUCUCUCCA
Non-coding RNA from Myotis lucifugus (little brown bat), 81 nucleotides. The record is from Rfam. Lineage: Eukaryota; Metazoa; Chordata; Mammalia; Chiroptera; Vespertilionidae.